UCCCGCAUGCAGUCAUGUAGAAGUAGUUGAUGGGGAGAUUUACCAAGAGCAGAUGCUUCAUAGAUAAACUAUAAUAAAUGUGGAGGACGAUAAUGAAGUUAUCUAGUUAGAUGGUGGAGAUGAACUACAUGAAUUAGAUCCUGAGUCAAUACUUGCGUCAGAUGAUAUUGAUACUGAGGAGGAAGAGUUAUUGGCUAAAUCUGACACUAAAUCUGAAGUAGAUGAUGG
Molecule: long non-coding RNA, 228 nt
Filed under: Panax ginseng (ginseng)
Lineage: Eukaryota; Viridiplantae; Streptophyta; Magnoliopsida; Apiales; Araliaceae
Description: long non-coding RNA (PGIN_LNC011017)
Source: RNAcentral